RNAcentral lists this unclassified non-coding RNA (389 nucleotides) under soil metagenome. RNAcentral's name for it is "partial contains 5.8S ribosomal RNA, internal transcribed spacer 2, and large subunit ribosomal RNA". The stretch from base 1 to 122 matches the Rfam family "5.8S ribosomal RNA", at positions 35 to 154 of the family's 154-position model. The record is from RNAcentral.
GAUGAAGAACGUAGCGAAAUGCGAUACUUGGUGUGAAUUGCAGAAUCCCGCGAAUCAUCGAGUUUUUGAACGCAAGUUUCGCCCGAAGCCAUUCGGCCGAGGGCACGUCUGCCUGGGUGUCACGCAUCGUUGCCCCCCCAAACUCCGGUUCGGGCGGGGCGGAAGUUGGCCUCCCGUGCGUGCCUGCGCGCGCGGUUAGCCCAAAAGCGAGUCCUCGGCGACGAGCGCCACGACAAUCGGUGGUUUUUUUACCCUCGUUCCUCGUCGUGCGUGUCCCGUCGCCCGAACGCGCUCUUGCGACCCUCACGCGUCGCCUCGGCGGCGCUCCCAACGCGACCCCAGGUCAGGCGGGACUACCCGCUGAGUUUAAGCAUAUCAAUAAGCGGAGG